ACGGCGAGUGAAGCGGCAACAGCUCAAAUUUGAAAUCUGGCUCUCUUUGGGGGUCCGAGUUGUAAUUUGCAGAGGAUGCUUUGGCAUUGGCGGCGGUCUAAGUUCCUUGGAACAGGACAUCGCAGAGGGUGAGAAUCCCGUACGUGGGCGCCUGCCUUUGCCGUGUAAAGCUCCUUCGACGAGUCGAGUUGUUUGGGAAUGCAGCUCUAAAUGGGAGGUAAAUUUCUUCUAAAGCUAAAUACCGGCCAGAGACCGAUAGCGCACAAGUAGAGUGAUCGAAAGAUGAAAAGUACUUUGGAAAGAGAGUCAAAAAGCACGUGAAAUUGUUGAAAGGGAAGCGCUUGCAGCCAGACUUGCCCGCAGUUGCUCACCUAGGCUUUGGCCUGGGGCACUCUUCUGCGGGCAGGCCAGCAUCAGUUUGGGCGGUUGGAUAAAGGCCUCUGUCACGUAUCUUCCUUCGGGAUGACCUUAUAGGGGAGGCGUAAUGCAACCAGCCCGGACUGAGGUCCGCGCAUCUGCUAGGAUGCUGGCGUAAUGGCUGUAAGCGGCCCGUCUUGAAACACGGACCAAGGAGUCUAACAUCUAUGCGAGUGUUUGGGUGUCAAGCCCGGGCGCGCAAUGAAAGUGAACGGAGGUGGGAACCCUUUGGGUGCACCAUCGACCGAUCCUGAUGUCUUCGGAUGGAUUUGAGUAAGAGCAUAGCUGUUGGGACCCGAAAGAUGGUGAACUAUGCUUGAAUAGGGUGAAGCCAGAGGAAACUCUGGUGGAGGCUCGCAGCGGUUCUGACGUGCAAAUCGAUCGUCAAAUUU
Molecule: ribosomal RNA, 809 nt
Filed under: Paracamarosporium fagi
Lineage: Eukaryota; Fungi; Ascomycota; Dothideomycetes; Pleosporales; Didymosphaeriaceae
Description: eukaryotic LSU rRNA
Rfam family: Eukaryotic large subunit ribosomal RNA
Source: RNAcentral